This 253-nucleotide ribosomal RNA is filed under the name uncultured bacterium. RNAcentral's name for it is "partial 16S ribosomal RNA". It matches the Rfam family "Bacterial small subunit ribosomal RNA", at positions 524 to 776 of the family's 1533-position model. The record is from RNAcentral.
CACGUAGGGUGCAAGCGUUGUCCGGAAUUAUUGGGUGUAAAGGGCUCGUAGGCGGUCCGUCACGUCGGGAGUGAAAACUCGGGGCUCAACCCCGAGCCUGCUUCCGAUACGGGCGGACUAGAGGUAGGUAGGGGAGAACGGAAUUCCUGGUGUAGCGGUGGAAUGCGCAGAUAUCAGGAGGAACACCGGUGGCGAAGGCGGUUCUCUGGGCCUUACCUGACGCUGAGGAGCGAAAGCGUGGGGAGCGAACAGG